CGACUUCUUGAGCAAGAAAAGAAGAUCACUCAGCUGCAUCUCGAGAAUCAGCAGAACAGCCAACUGGGGCAUUUAUCAAAAAAAGAGAAAAAGAAAAAAGAGGAGGGUGCAAAAUCAAAAAAAAAAAGAAAUCAAUCAAAAUCAAUCAAAAUCAAAAGAAAUCAAAAGCAAAAUCAAAAGAAAAAAAAAACAACAAAAGAAAGAUAGCACCCUCAAAGUCCCAAGUUGACUAAUGCUGAAUUCGACGGAAAGAACGAAAAGAUCAACUGCCAUGUGUCAUGGUCAAGUUAUAUCAGCAGAGAGUG
Molecule: long non-coding RNA, 305 nt
Filed under: Lathyrus oleraceus (garden pea)
Lineage: Eukaryota; Viridiplantae; Streptophyta; Magnoliopsida; Fabales; Fabaceae
Description: Pisum sativum (pea) long non-coding RNA (PSAT_LNC005939)
Source: RNAcentral